UUUCCGUAGGUGAACCUGCGGAAGGAUCAUUAACGUAUCUACGAGUCCGGCGGUCGGCGUCGCCGCGCCCCGGCUCGAACCCCCACAAACCCACCGUGCUCCUUUACGGCCCAGGGCGCCGCCGGCGAAAGCUGCGGUCCCGAAGCCGCAUUCAAAUAGACUCCAGUUCAAAAGAAUGCAAAGCAGACUAUGAUCUGCCCACAAAUUGAAACAACUUUCAACAACGGAUCUCUUGGCUCUCGCAUCGAUGAAGAACGCAGC
This 261-nucleotide unclassified non-coding RNA is filed under the name uncultured fungus. Its description in RNAcentral is "sequence contains ITS1, 5.8S rRNA gene". The stretch from base 213 to 261 matches the Rfam family "5.8S ribosomal RNA", at positions 1 to 49 of the family's 154-position model. Lineage: Eukaryota; Fungi. The record is from RNAcentral.